This 669-nucleotide small RNA is filed under the name Rattus norvegicus (Norway rat). Its description in RNAcentral is "uncharacterized LOC102555259". The record is from RNAcentral. Lineage: Eukaryota; Metazoa; Chordata; Mammalia; Rodentia; Muridae.
UGUGUAGAUUAGGGGACCACUUAUAGGCAUCUCUUCUCUUUUUCUUUCAGGUAAGUCCCAGGGAUCCAGCUCAGGGUGUCCGUCUUGUUGAGCCAUCUCUCACAGCUCUAAGUUUGUAAUUUUAAUUGAACAAUCUCAUCUCUUUCAUCUUAGAAAAGUCAUUAAAUCACUUAAGAAACUUAGAGGAUUAUAGAUUUAUAAGCAGACAAUUUACUCUAGUAAGACACUGUGACAUUUGAGGCCAUGUUCUGCCAUUCACCCUGGCAUUCAACUUCUGGCAGGAGAGAGAGGAAGCUUGGCUUUCCCGUGGGCAUCAGGUAGCCUGUUUUGAAGAAAACGUCUUUCCGCGGGAGUGUUCCCGCACUCUGGGAAAGCCAUCUGCUAAAGUUAUCAAGGUGUGGAAAACACCCCCACGCUGAACUAGGAUUCAACCUCGACUCGGCAUCUGGAAGCUUCCCACUAAGUCUGUUAGUUCAGUAACAAGCCGCAGGCAUUUGCUGCCCAACAGGUGCAAACCAGCUCCGGGGAGCCACGGAGAAGAACUUGGUCCAUGCUUCUCAGCCCAGGACACUGGGGUGUGUUUACACAGUUAGGUACCGGUGGUCACGGCUUAUUUCUGAGGGAUAAAAGAACAAGUGGGAGACAUAAAUAAAGAGCAUGUUGACAUGA